CUCUUCUGGGAACUAUUUGUUUAUAUAUUUGGUUGCUUAACUCCUUUGUGAACUGUGUCUGUGAGAGUAUUUCUACGUACUGAGAGUCGUUUCAGAACCCGGCUCCCAGCUCGGGAGUGCAGACUCUGCCGCCUUCCUCUCGCCACUCGAGCACAUCUGAAUGAGACAACGAACUUCCGCUCUUUUCCCAGAACCGCCAGCUCGGUGCAGGGUGUUGUUUAAAAGGAAAGAAAAGAAAAGAAAUGACAAAGAUCUCACUGGCCUUUAGAAGAUCAUAACCAAAAAUAAUCAAAACCACUUGCCUCGGAUCAGUGCUUUGCAGUUUACAUUCUUUGGCUAAAUAAGACAUGCAAAUAAACAGUGAACACCUUCGGUAGAAGAGCUACAGACGAGUGCCCAUGGACUCCUGGCCACUGAAAGCUUCAGACUCUUUACCCGUGCGUCCAUCCACUGCUUAGUCACGGAGCCGCCCCGCUUGCUGACCGUCCAGCCUGGGCAGGACCCCACGUCUCAGGAGGACCCAAGGCAAGCCGCAGCCCGUCCCCAGAAAGCCCCUUCUGAUCAGUUCUCACUAGAACGUCGCCGGCUGCACUGAGGGAGGCCCCCACAGGCGCGGGAACAGGUGCACUCCCGGCGGUCUUUGGCUGGACAGUACUGACGGUCGCGGGGUUCCAGCCCCACAGCCCCCACCCGGCCUGGGAACAGCGCCCUCCCAUGAAGAGUCUAUCCCCAGGCCAGCCCAGUGACCUGCCAGGACAUCGGGGAAGGAAAGCCAAGAAGACACUCCUUGCGUCCUGCCCGUGUCUCUCUCCCCAGACAAAGCACAUCAGGACAGGUGGGAGCCAAGAUGCCGGGAGGGGCAGCAGGAGGGCUGGGAGGGUGAGGGAGGAUGGUGAGCAGAGAGCGCCUCGUUCUGGGGGCCGGCCCCUCACGUGCAAGGUGGACACCGGCUCAGGGGGCUGCUGCACCGUCAUGGGUCAGAUCGAAGGCCGGGAACGUUGUUUCAGCAAGAAACACGGCCCACGAAUCAGUCUGGUUUUGAGUCCAGCUGCUGUCCGUGGGGCUGAGCCCUUCCCGUAGCCUCGCCCUCUGGGCAUCCCCGUGCCCUCGCUCAGCAACAGGGGUCCCCAGGCGUUCCUGCUCCUGUGUCUGCCCACUCCUUGGGUCUGGCAGCUUCUGGUACUUUCCCUGACACAGGUAGGGCACUAGUUUAUCUCCUGUCUGAGGUGCGGCUGCUUCCCGGGGUCAGGGAUGGAGCGGAGCCUGGCUCCCGGUGGCUCCGACCUCCUCCGGCUUAGCUCCAGUCUGGUGGGAAAGUCCUCUCCUGGUCCUUUCCCCUACGCUGGAAGUUCCUUAAAUCCCUAACUUGAAAAGCAGGUUCUCUGUGCUCCAGGGAAGGGAGGGUUGACUUUACCAAAGCUGAGAGCGAGAAUUUCCAUUUCACUUUCUCGUAGAUCAAAGAGAAGGAAGAGAAGCACACACGGGGGAGAUUAUACUCUGAAGCCAGAUUAUACUCUGAAGCCACGGGAACAGCCACACAUACGGAGUUCUGGAGCUGGGAUGUGUCAUCUUCCCCAUAUGUGGAUGUGGUCCCCGACGUGGAAGCUCUCCAAGCCCCCGACUUAUUUUUUUUAAAUGAAAGCUUCAUCAUGUGGGUAUCACGUGUCAUUAACUCUGUUGGCAGACUCUCCCUUCUCCAGAGAAUGCUGGUGGAGCUGAAGUUUCGAGGUUCUAAUCAUGGCUGUCUCUGUUUUAAAAGGAGCCCACCCAGGAUCACCUCAUAAAAAUAACAGGUGCACCCAUCCCAGGAAAGUACAAGAGUUUAGGAGCCCCAGGUCAGACACUGGGGUCAAGCACCCACUAUUAGCACAAAAGGUGCUCCCCACACUCUCGUCUCUUAGGACGUUAAAAGGGUUUCAGGCAUUCCGUGCCAGGAACUGGGGCAGAAAGCCAUCAUCUUGCAGUGACAUGGCCUCAUGUGUGCUUCCUGCCUCGAGAUGGCUCUGGAAGUCUGUUGUGUUGAGUUUGGG
RNAcentral lists this long non-coding RNA (2030 nucleotides) under Mustela putorius furo (domestic ferret). RNAcentral describes it as "lncRNA (ENSMPUG00000024222.1)". The record is from RNAcentral. Lineage: Eukaryota; Metazoa; Chordata; Mammalia; Carnivora; Mustelidae.